AUACGGGCACGUGACGUCUCUACUCCAAUCAGCCACGACCUUUCCAGCCCCUGACCUGUUUCUUAGGGGGCCCAUGCCCUACAAAAAGGGUGUGUAUUCAGCCUCGGGUUCUCUGGGUGCAAUAGAAGACAUUACAGACUAUUUCCAGACCAGACUGUGGCAGCUGACCUUACAUCAUUUGUGGUAUAUCCCCACCCCUGCUAAAUACCCUUGUGUAUGUGUAAAUAACCAUACAGCCAUUUUUGUUUUUUGCUGCGUGAUAGCCGUCCACAGUUUUUAUUAAUUCUCCAACAAGAAAAAACAGGUAUAACUUCUCAAGCUUUUGAAAGCAGUAUGGCGCCGCAGGACUCCUGGUGAGCAAGUCUGCCUUCCCAGCUCAACUAAUCAUAGAAUCUCACCAGAAAACCUCCAAAUGGGACUUCACUAUGAAUUCCACUAGAACACCACCAAAUAAAAAACAAAAGAAGAAACACAAAUGCGAGGGAGGGCAGUCUGCAGGCUUUGCUUCAGCAGCAGUUCAGGGCUUAACCUGUCAGCAUUUGUGGCAGCAGGGAGGAGUAUGUCAAAGAGAUUGCUGAGACUUAUGGCCUGCUUCUCAUCAGACAUGGAAACUUGACUUAGUACACCCCAUAAGGGUCUUGGAUCAUAAAUUCAACAGAAGACAGAAGAGGUCUCACUUCAGACCACCCCUCACCUUGCAGAAUCACCAUUCCUUGAUCAUUGGUCAUCAUUGUGCCAAUAAAUCCAAGGCUUGUCUAAAGGUCAAGCUCUCAGGCUUUCUGGAAUAUUAUGUGCCAUAUGGUGCAUUAAAACUUCCUCCUCAAGAGACACUUCUGUGGCCUGAACUGCACUAGACAUCCAGAAGAUUCCGUAUUGAUCUUGUAUUUUAUU
Molecule: long non-coding RNA, 891 nt
Organism: Hyla sarda
Lineage: Eukaryota; Metazoa; Chordata; Amphibia; Anura; Hylidae
Exons: 4
Source: RefSeq, a predicted model, not a curated record